UGCGGGAUGGUGUAGCGGUAGCACACAUGACUCUGGAUCAUGUUGCCUAGGUUCGAAUCCUAGUCCCGCAGCCA
This 74-nucleotide transfer RNA is filed under the name bacterium. RNAcentral's name for it is "tRNA-Gln". It matches the Rfam family "tRNA". From Rfam's summary of the family: Transfer RNA (tRNA) molecules are approximately 80 nucleotides in length. Their secondary structure includes four short double-helical elements and three loops (D, anti-codon, and T loops). Further hydrogen bonds mediate the characteristic L-shaped molecular structure. tRNAs have two regions of fundamental functional importance: the anti-codon, which is responsible for specific mRNA codon recognition, and the 3' end, to which the tRNAs corresponding amino acid is attached (by aminoacyl-tRNA synthetases). tRNAs cope with the degeneracy of the genetic code in two manners: having more than one tRNA (with a specific anti-codon) for a particular amino acid; and 'wobble' base-pairing, i.e. permitting non-standard base-pairing at the 3rd anti-codon position. The record is from RNAcentral. RNAcentral also lists the same sequence under 3 other names.